ACAGACUUGAUUAUAUACAGACCGCCACCAUACAGCUGGAAUAUUGCAGAGUGUGGCGUAAAACUAACCUCACUCACUCCAAAUAAGUGACGGUGAGUAAGAUGACUUCAUAUCAUGUCAGACAGUGUCUCUCAGAGAAUAUAGGACCAUCCAGGUGAAACUUCAAGACAGUGAACGGUCACAAAAUAUCCAAGACCAGUACUUUCAAAGGUCAAAAGAUGACAUUAUCUGUCUUUUGAUACUUAUUUCAAACAAGAACCUGAAAUCUGCUGAAAUGGCUGUUAAUCAACUUAAGUACUUCAAUCAGAAACAUGACAAUAUAGAUCUGGCUUGCUAGUACUUCAAACAAUUACAAGAUGAUAUAGGUCUGUCAGUACUUCAAACAAUUACAAGAUGAUAUAGGUCUGUCAGUACUUCAAACAAUUACAAGAUGAUAUAGGUCUGUCAGUACUUCAGUACUUCAAAUACUUCAGUAAUACUACAAUGGAGUUAGGUUCAUCUAGUUGCUGAAUCAUCAUAUUCAUCCUCAGAACAAUACUGACUUAAUGUACACGCUUCUGUUGUUUAUAUUCAUGAAACAUGGCGUUGUUAUCAGACAUAGGGGCAUUUUCUGCAUCUCCCUGAAAUCAAAUUCAAGUUGAUGUGUUGAAAAAUCAACAGAUGAUGUAAAUCAAGAAAUUAAUGCGUCACCAAAUUUAUGCAAGCACCAUCAACCUGGUCUAGAAUACAUCCUGAAAUUCAUGUGGGCAUCCAUACUGUUGAAAACUGAAAACAUCUCAUUCACUGGCAACUAUCAAGGAAUCAUUAUCACACAGUUUACAGUAUUCACAAUUCAAUUUCAGUAACAUCAUGGACUUUUCGUAUAUAUCUCAGUUCUCUUAUGAAUUCACAAUGCCAUGUAGAAAGGGGUCUAAUGUAACGCACGUUAUAUUUGGGAUUACACUUUAUCAGUAAAGUACAGAUUCUAGUACUUUUAUUGGUUUGAGUCCCAUCUGGGAUUCAAACCCACCCACACACUCAGUCAGGCACCUAAUCGCAAGCACAUAAGUCAGCCGUCUAACCCACCCAGUCACCACGGCUUCCACCCAGUACUCUUGUUAGACAUGAGACUUAACUUAUAAGCCAAGGGUUUUCAGAGUGAAACAAAAAGAUUAAAACAACAAAAAAACAUUUCUCAAAACAUCCAAUGAUUUUGUAAGAGCAGAAGCCAAUAUGGUUCCCAGCGUUACAUCAAUAAACUUUUGUUUAAAACAAAGUAGCUUUUUAUGUGAUAAGUGCCAUUGUUUCUGGUAAGUGCAGUCACUGUGCAUCCAAAACAAUAAAAGACAAUAACACAAGCCAUGAUAAAAGUUUACCACUUCAUGAAAUUGAGCAAGUGUGACAAGCAUUCUUUGAAUUAAUUUCAUGAUUUACAACAUCCAAAACAAUUUUGUAUAAAUAGUUCUCUUCCUCAGAAGGUCAAGGACGUUUUACUUCCAUAUCUGUCCACCUGUCUGUUGUCUGUUGUAUAUACGUUUCUGUAGUAGAUUAGAUACGCAGACUGCCAUUGCAAGAUGGUCAUUAAGUUUACUGUCCUGUCACAGAUGAUAGGAAUGGAUGAUAUAUGUAUAACUUUGCUGUGUAAUAAAGAUUGCUUACAUA
This 1641-nucleotide long non-coding RNA is filed under the name Haliotis rubra (blacklip abalone). RNAcentral's name for it is "uncharacterized LOC124254305". Lineage: Eukaryota; Metazoa; Mollusca; Gastropoda; Lepetellida; Haliotidae. The record is from RNAcentral.